RNAcentral lists this ribosomal RNA (497 nucleotides) under uncultured bacterium. RNAcentral describes it as "partial 16S ribosomal RNA". It matches the Rfam family "Bacterial small subunit ribosomal RNA", at positions 28 to 507 of the family's 1533-position model. The record is from RNAcentral.
GAUGAACGCUGGCGGCGUGCCUAAUACAUGCAAGUCGAGCGAACGGACGAGAAGCUUGCUUCUCUGAUGUUAGCGGCGGACGGGUGAGUAACACGUGGAUAACCUACCUAUAUGACUGGGAUAACUUCGGGAAACCGGAGCCAAUACCGGAUAAUAUUUUGAACCGCAUGGUUCAAAAGUGAAAGACGGUCUUGCUGUCACUUAUAGAUGGAUCCGCGCUGCAUUAGCUAGUUGGUAAGGUAACGGCUUACCAAGGCAACGAUGCAUAGCCGACCUGAGAGGGUGAUCGGCCACACUGGAACUGAGACACGGUCCAGACUCCUACGGGAGGCAGCAGUAGGGAAUCUUCCGCAAUGGGCGAAAGCCUGACGGAGCAACGCCGCGUGAGUGAUGAAGGUCUUCGGAUCGUAAAACUCUGUUAUUAGGGAAGAACAUAUGUGUAAGUAACUGUGCACAUCUUGACGGUACCUAAUCAGAAAGCCACGGCUAACUACGUG